Molecule: ribosomal RNA, 497 nt
Filed under: uncultured bacterium
Lineage: Bacteria
Description: partial 16S ribosomal RNA
Rfam family: Bacterial small subunit ribosomal RNA
Source: RNAcentral
GAUGAACGCUGGCGGCGUGCCUAAUACAUGCCAGUCGAGCGAACGGACGAGAAGCUUGCUUCUCUGAUGUUAGCGGCGGACGGGUGAGUAACACGUGGAUAACCUACCUAUAAGACUGGGAUAACUUCGGGAAACCGGAGCUAAUACCGGAUGAUAUUUUGAACCGCAUGGUUCAAAAGUGAAAGACGGUCUUGCUGUCACUUAUAGAUGGAUCCGCGCUGCAUUAGCUAGUUGGUAAGGUAACGGCUUACCAAGGCAACGAUGCAUAGCCGACCUGAGAGGGUGAUCGGCCACACUGGAACUGAGACACGGUCCAGACUCCUACGGGAGGCAGCAGUAGGGAAUCCUCCGCAAUGGGCGAAAGCCUGACGGAGCAACGCCGCGUGAGUGAUGAAGGUCUUCGGAUCGUAAAACUCUGUUAUUAGGGAAGAACAUAUGUGUAAGUAACUGUGCACAUCUUGACGGUACCUAAUCAGAAAGCCACGGCUAACUACGUG